Long non-coding RNA from Carcharodon carcharias (great white shark), 304 nucleotides. RefSeq lists it as uncharacterized. The transcript has 3 exons. The record is from RefSeq and is a predicted model, not a curated record. Lineage: Eukaryota; Metazoa; Chordata; Chondrichthyes; Lamniformes; Lamnidae.
CUAAGUCUCUACAAACAACAUCAGUAUCCACAAAGCUUGCAGAAGGACAAAUGACUUUGGGAAAAAGGAAAGCUCAAGCAAGCAGAGUUAAACCUGCAAUGUCACAGGAAGUCAAAUAUAUAUGCAAAAGCAGACCUGCAGCUUCAAACGGCUGACAAGCCUUGAGUGGAGGCCUAGAACACCAGAUAAAGUCAGAGAAAAAGCAGCACAGCACAGAGAGACAGUGCUUCUUCUAUACACAUCCUGGUUCCAAUUAAGGAGGUGGCUGUCAAUAUUACCAACUCAAGCUUUUGGACCAUGACAU